Molecule: ribosomal RNA, 1795 nt
Filed under: Leptomysis lingvura adriatica
Lineage: Eukaryota; Metazoa; Arthropoda; Malacostraca; Mysida; Mysidae
Description: SSU rRNA
Rfam family: Eukaryotic small subunit ribosomal RNA
Source: RNAcentral
UUGAUCCUGCCAGUAGUAUAUGCUUGUCUCAAAGAUUAAGCCAUGCAUGUCUAAGUACAGACCGUCAUACGGUGAAACCGCGAAUGGCUCAUUAAAUCAGUUAUGGUUCACGAGAUCUUACAAAUUACUUGGAUAACCGUGGUAAUUCUAGAGCUAAUACAUGCAACUAAGCCUCGACCUCACGGGAGGGGCGCUUUUAUUAGAACAAGACCACCCGGGCUUCGGUCGCCAAUUCUGUGGUGACUCUGAAUAACCUCGCUGAGCGCACAGUCUCCGCACUGGCGCCGUAUCUUUCAAGUGUCUGCCUUAUCAGCUGUCGAUUGUAGGUUAUGUGCCUACAAUGGCUAUAACGGGUAACGGGGAAUCAGGGUUCGAUUCCGGAGAGGGAGCCUGAGAAACGGCUACCACAUCUAAGGAAGGCAGCAGGCACGCAAAUUACCCACUCCCAGCUCGGGGAGGUAGUGACGAAAAAUAACGAUGCGGGACUCUUCCGAGGCUUCGCAAUCGGAAUGAGUUCAAUCUAAAUCCUUGUACAAGGACCAAUUGGAGGGCAAGUCUGGCGCCAGCAGCCGCGGUAAUUCCAGCUCCAAUAGCGUAUAUUAAAGUUGCUGCGGUUAAAAAGCUCGUAGUUGGAUUUCAGUUAUGGAUCGACGGUGCGCUCGGCGAUUUCCGUCGCCGAACAGUGAGCUGGCACGCUCGGGGUGCUCUUUACCGAGUGUCCCUGUGGCCAGCACGUUUACUUUGAAAAAAUUAGAGUGCUUAAAGCAGGCUAUCGCCUGAAUAGUUGUGCAUGGAAUAAUAGAAAAGGACCUCGGUUCUAUUUUGUUGGUUUUCGAACCUGAGAUAAUGAUUAACAGGGACUGACGGGGGCAUUCGUAUUGCGACGCUAGAGGUGAAAUUCUUGGACCGUCGCAAGACGCACAACUGCGAAAGCAUUUGCCCAGAAUGUCUUCUUUAAUCAAGAACGAAAGUUAGAGGUUCGAAGGCGAUCAGAUACCGCCCUAGUUCUAACCAUAAACUAUGCUAACCAGCAAUUUGUCUGUGUUAAUCCCAUGACUGGACAAGCAGCUUCCGGGAAACCAAAGUCUUUGAGUUCCGGGGGAAGUAUGGUUGCAAAGCUGAAACUUAAAGGAAUUGACGGAAGGGCACCACCAGGAGUGGAGCCUGCGGCUUAAUUUGACUCAACACGGGAAAUCUUACCAGGCCCGGACACCGGAAGGAUUGACAGAUUAAGAGCUCUUUCUUGAUUCGGUGGGUGGUGGUGCAUGGCCGUUCUUAGUUGGUGGAGCGAUUUGUCUGGUUAAUUCCGAUUAAAAACGAACGAGAUUCUAACCUGCUAACUAGCCAAGGUAUCUGGUCUAUGUGCCUGAAGCUUCUUAGAGGGAUAAGCGUCGUCUAGACGCACGAGAUUGAGCAAUAACAGGUCUGUGAUGCCCUUAGAUGUUCUGGGCCGCACGCGCGCUACACUGAAGAAAUCAGCGUGUUCUCCCUCUCCGAGAGGAGCGGGUAACCCGUUGAAACUUCUUCGUGAUAGGGAUUGGGGCUUGAAAUUCUUCCCCAUGAACGAGGAAUUCCCAGUAAGCGCAAGUCAUCAGCUUGCGUUGAUUACGUCCCUGCCCUUUGUACACACCGCCCGUCGCUACUACCGAUUGAAUGAUUUAGUGAGGGCAUCGGACUGGCGCCGGUUGUGGUCUUCGGGCUACUUCGGGCUCGCCGGAAAGAUGUCCAAACUUGAUUAUUUAGAGGAAGUAAAAGUCGUAACAAGGUUUCCGUAGGUGAACCUGCAGAUGGAUCA